AUAAAUCCUCCCGGUAAAGAAAAUCAAAUUCGUAAGUCUGAUUUUGAUCCGAACCGAAGCAAAAUCAAUCGAUCGAAGAGGGAUCCAAAAGCAUGUCGGCACUCUUCAAUUUCCAUUCAUUUUUAACGGUAGUGUUAUUGGGAAUCUGCACUUGCACUUUCUUGAAGAUGCAAUUUCCAGCACUCUUUGAACAGAGAACCGGGUUUUGAGGUUUCUUUCGGAAGGCAGCCAGAAUAGGGAAAGGGGCAACAAAAAAUGAUGCCGUUGAGCAGCAGUCCAGGGAGGAUUAGGUCAGGUUAUUUUAACAUAAGAAUGAGGAUAUUGAUGCUUCAUUUUCUUUGCAAAACAUUGGAAUACUUCAAUACUGCAUUAGCUAGAAGCAGUUGAAUCCUUCUCUGCAUUUUAGUUGUAUAACCAACUGGCAUGUUUUGACUCUCAGGUUUACAGUGUCAUUUGAUGUGCAUGAACAAUGAUUAUUGUAGUAAUUGAUUCAGAUUUUGUUUGUAGGGAUCCAUUAUGAGAUAUGAUGUAUAUUUGAGCUAGUAUCUCUUUUGUUCUAUUUGUGUAAUAGGGUUCCUCCCUGCCAUUUUGUUCCUUGAAUUACAUUUGUAAAUGGACAUGCUAAUGUAAAUAUUUAUGUGGAUGAAAUGUUUCAUUUGUAACAAAGAUAUUUUUUCACCUCUCUUGACUAGAUGCAGUAGUAAGUUGUUUCACCGGUGUUUCUUACGUUAGUGUGUUUCCUGGACUCCUUUUACUUUUUGAAUUUUGUUCCUUCGAGA
This is a long non-coding RNA of Hibiscus syriacus, 779 nucleotides long. RefSeq lists it as uncharacterized. NCBI's taxonomy places the organism in Eukaryota, Viridiplantae, Streptophyta, Magnoliopsida, Malvales, Malvaceae. The record is from RefSeq and is a predicted model, not a curated record. The transcript is spliced from 4 exons.